AUUGAACGCUGGCGGAAUGCUUUACACAUGCAAGUCGAACGGUAGAGGGGGCAACCCCUCGAGAGUGGCGAACGGGUGAGUAAUAUAUCGGAACGUGCCCAGUCGUGGGGGAUAACGUAGCGAAAGUUACGCUAAUACCGCAUACGAUCUAAGGAUGAAAGCGGGGGAUCGCAAGACCUCGCGCGAUUGGAGCGGCCGAUAGCAGAUUAGGUAGUUGGUGGGGUAAAGGCUCACCAAGCCAACGAUCUGUAGCUGGUCUGAGAGGACGACCAGCCACACUGGAACUGAGACACGGUCCAGACUCCUACGGGAGGCAGCAGUGGGGAAUUUAGGACAAUGGACGCAAGUCUGAUCCAGCCAUUCCGCGUGCAGGAUGAAGGCCCUCGGGUUGUAAACUGCUUUUGUACGGAACGAAAAGGUCUCUCUUAAUACGGGGGGCUCAUGACGGUACCGUAAGAAUAAGCACCGGCUGACUACGUGCCAGCCGCCGCGGUAA
RNAcentral lists this ribosomal RNA (496 nucleotides) under uncultured bacterium. RNAcentral describes it as "partial 16S ribosomal RNA". It matches the Rfam family "Bacterial small subunit ribosomal RNA", at positions 30 to 523 of the family's 1533-position model. The record is from RNAcentral.